GAACGGGUAUAAAAGCUGCACAUAAUGAAGCUGCUGUCACCACGCUUGUCCCUUUCUGUGUUUGAGGCUGGCUGGAGAAUCCAAUGAGCUGGUAGGUUUUUUUUUUGUUAAUAAUUUUUACAGUUCUUAGAAAACCGAUUUGGCCACUGGCGAUCCUUCUGUUGGUCUCCCAGCUUGUCAGGGAGGCCCAAACCAUGUGUGAGCCGGACCAGGUGGAGGAGCCUACAAGUAACUCCAGGCUGGCAUUAGAAGCCACUGCUGUUUUGUGUAGCUUAUUCAGUUCCUUUCUGGAGUUUAUUCAUAUUUGUAACAUUAGUUAGUUUGCUGAUGAUUACUUUUGGUAAUUUGUUUAUUUAUUUAUUUUUUAGGGGGUGUUUGAGGCUGUCUGCAGAGUAGCAUCCCAGAUGGUGGGUCUGGUGGCUGGGCCUUUCAUCUGCUCAUCCCAUUGUCCGUUGUUUGUCUGCAUUUUCUUUUAACAUAGCAUGCCUUGAUUUUAUAUUGUUUGUGUGGAGAAACUAAGUCGGUGAGCGCCCUGUGCCAGAGCCUGUCCCCGUUCUCACCCCGGUGCGGCCUAGUCACCAGUAGCCCUCAAUUUGUUUGUAGAGGCGCAUUUGGUUAUUCCUACAGCUGAUGGAAAUUAGUUUCAUUGUUUUGUAUGCUUACUAUAUUUUAACUAAAUGUUAAUCUGGGAUAAUCCUUUUGCCUCAGUCUGACCUCAGUCACCAGUUGAUCCUUGGUUGUUGGAUAAUUUAUGAGGAAAUGUUUAACCCUGUGCUACCGGUGGUUAAAAUGUCUGUCUUCCAGUUGCUCAACUUCUCAUGAUUUGAUCUACACACUAUGCAUCAGUUAAAACUAAUGCGUUCUAAUACAACAGCCCUACAACUUAUUUCUCACUCAUUCUCUUGUAUCAGGGAAGUCGACAGUCCAAAUAGAAAUCGGCCAAUGGUACCCCUAGAAGGGAUUUACUCACAUGUUGAACUUUACUAAUUGCUUGUGAUCUUUUCUCAGACUGCUAUGGCUGGUUCCACACACACAGAAUCAAGAUGAACAUUGGAAAAAACAAACUUCCAAAUGGCUUGCCAAAGUCACUAGAUAUCUUUACUGCAAGAUGAAGACAACCUUUAGGUUAAAGGGCAGCCUCUCACUUCAAUACAUGGACCAAGAUUUUGGCAAUUACUUUUUAAUCUACACUCUACCACUGAAUUUCAGGGACAAGUAGCAGGCCAAACGGGUUAGUUGAUAUGUAAAAUGUUUGACCUACCUCUGUGUAUUGCCCGUGAUAAAUUGUGUAACCCUGUUUUAUAAAUUGUUGCAGAUAAUGUAAUUUGUUUUUUAGUAUUGUCAUUUACUCAUUUCAGUUGGUUCAAUAUGCGUUGGGCAAGAAACCUGGUGGAGACCGUGGUGCCAUGAGCGCAAACAAAAGAGUCUUGUAGGACGCAAUUGCUGAUAAUGGGCGGUCGACCAACUGACAGAACCGUACAGGUCAAAGGAGGCUCAUAGAUCUUGGGGAGAAGAUGGGCGAGGCCUGGGCUCUUCAUUAAAGUAUUCUUUGAUGGUCCAGAGAAGGCAGCAGGCUCCUGCCUUGAGGAUCCCAAGAAGUGGUCAAGCAGUUUCAGCCUCCUGUGACGGUGGAAAUAACCAGCAGUCUUUAGUGAUUUGAGUGAACGGACGGUCCACAGAAGACAACAGGGUCUCAUGUGAAAAUUGCCUGCUGACUGAGAGGACAAUUCGUAGAACAAAACAAGCUCCUGCUUCAGGGGCAAGCAGCUUUAGCCUCCUGUGGAAAUCGCCAAGUUGGCAAUUUCCACAACAGG
This is a long non-coding RNA of Gasterosteus aculeatus aculeatus (three-spined stickleback), 1814 nucleotides long. NCBI's taxonomy places the organism in Eukaryota, Metazoa, Chordata, Actinopteri, Perciformes, Gasterosteidae. The record is from Ensembl.